This 219-nucleotide long non-coding RNA is filed under the name Lathyrus oleraceus (garden pea). RNAcentral's name for it is "Pisum sativum (pea) long non-coding RNA (PSAT_LNC025863)". Lineage: Eukaryota; Viridiplantae; Streptophyta; Magnoliopsida; Fabales; Fabaceae. The record is from RNAcentral.
ACAUAUUCACUCAAAGACAUCAAUGUCCCUUUGAUUUUUAAAUGAUAAAAAAAGUUUGAAAAUAAAUAAACAACAAACAAAAUUAUUAUUUUUUUCAAAUAAAAAGAAAACAAAAAAUAUAAUAUUUAUUUAUUUUAAAUAAAAGUAAAUAGAACAAAAAAAAAUUGCUUUAUUUAUUUCUACUUAUAUGUUCAUGACAGUUUGAUUAAAAAAUUAAAA